Molecule: ribosomal RNA, 496 nt
Filed under: uncultured bacterium
Lineage: Bacteria
Description: partial 16S ribosomal RNA
Rfam family: Bacterial small subunit ribosomal RNA
Source: RNAcentral
GAUGAACGCUGGCGGCGUGCCUAAUACAUGCAAGUCGAGCGAACGGACGAGAAGCUUGCUUCUCUGAUGUUAGCGGCGGACGGGUGAGUAACACGUGGAUAACCUACCUAUAAGACUGGGAUAACUUCGGGAAACCGGAGCUAAUACCGGAUAAUAUUUUGAACCGCAUGGUUCAAAAGUGAAAGACGGUCUUGCUGUCACUUAUAGAUGGAUCCGCGCUGCAUUAGCUAGUUGGUAAGGUAACGGCUUACCAAGGCAACGAUGCAUAGCCGACCUGAGAGGGUGAUCGGCCACACUGGAACUGAGACACGGUCCAGACGCCUACGGGAGGCAGCAGUAGGGAAUCUUCCGCAAUGGGCGAAAGCCUGACGGAGCAACGCCGCGUGAGUGAUGAAGGUCUGCGGAUCGUAAAACUCUGUUAUUAGGGAAGAACAUAUGUGUAAGUAACUGUGCACAUCUUGACGGUACCUAAUCAGAAAGCCACGGCUAACUACGU